UGCGUAGGCGGGUUUCUAAGUCAGAGGUGAAAGCCUGGAGCUCAACUCCAGAACUGCCUUUGAUACUGGAAGUCUUGAGCAUGGCAGAGGUGAGUGGAACUGCGAGUGUAGAGGUGAAAUUCGUAGAUAUUCGCAAGAACACCAGUGGCGAAGGCGGCUCACUGGGCCAUUACUGACGCUGAGGCACGAAAGGCUGGGAGCAAACA
This 206-nucleotide ribosomal RNA is filed under the name uncultured bacterium. RNAcentral's name for it is "partial 16S ribosomal RNA". It matches the Rfam family "Bacterial small subunit ribosomal RNA", at positions 568 to 774 of the family's 1533-position model. The record is from RNAcentral.